AUGGACCCGGUCAAGCGGGCGGAACUUAGGGCGCGGCUUGAGGAGCUCAAGGCGGAGAUGAAGGAAAAAUCUCUCCCCGGCGCCAGGGUCACCAAUGGUGUCCCCUCCGACAUCCGCGCUUUUCUCGCGGAGGUGGCGAAGAAGCAAAGGGCGGCGCUGCGGGAGGCGUACAGCAACCGCGAACCACUCAUCCUCCGUCUCAACUCCCGGCAAGACCCGUGCGCAUCACCACCAGACCCGGUCAAGUCGGCGGAACUUAGGGCGCAGUUUAAGGAGAUGAAGGCGAAGCUGAAGGAACAAUCUCUCCCCGGCGCCAAGGUCACCAACGGUGUCCCCUCCAAGAUCCAGCCUUUUCUCGCGGAGGCGGUGAGGAAGAAAAGGGCGGCGCUGCGGGAGGCGUACAGCAACCGCGAACCACCCAUCCUCCGUCUCAACUCCCGGCGAGACCCGUGCGCAUCACCACCAGCUUUCUCUGAAGAUGGAGAGGGAAAGGAAGCAUAA
Molecule: ribosomal RNA, 501 nt
Filed under: Triticum aestivum (bread wheat)
Lineage: Eukaryota; Viridiplantae; Streptophyta; Magnoliopsida; Poales; Poaceae
Description: partial small subunit ribosomal RNA
Source: RNAcentral